GCGGUGGUGGUAUAGUGGUGAGCAUAGCUGCCUUCCUAGCAGUUGACUCGGGUUCAAUUCCUGGCCAAUGCA
RNAcentral lists this transfer RNA (72 nucleotides) under Otolemur garnettii (small-eared galago). It matches the Rfam family "tRNA". From Rfam's summary of the family: Transfer RNA (tRNA) molecules are approximately 80 nucleotides in length. Their secondary structure includes four short double-helical elements and three loops (D, anti-codon, and T loops). The record is from Rfam by way of RNAcentral. Lineage: Eukaryota; Metazoa; Chordata; Mammalia; Primates; Galagidae.